GAGUUUGAUCUUGGCUCAGGAUGAACGCUGGCGGCGUGCCUAAUACAUGCAAGUCGAGCGGCAGCGAGAAUAAUUUAUUAUUUGUCGGCGAGCGGCGGACGGCUGAGUAACGCGUAGGAAUGUACCCCAAAGUGAGGGAUAAGCACCAGAAAUGGUGUCUAAUACCGCAUGUGCUCUAAGGAGUAAAGCUUCGGCGCUUUGGGAACGGCCUGCGUCUGAUUAGCUUGUUGGUGAGGUAAAAGCUCACCAAGGCGACGAUCAGUAGCUGGUCUGAGAGGAUGAUCAGCCAGACUGGGACUGAGACACGGCCCAGACUCCUACGGGAGGCAGCAGUAGGGAAUUUUCCACAAUGGGCGAAAGCCUGAUGGAGCAACGCCGCGUGCAGGAUGAAUGCCUUAGGGUUGUAAACUGCUUUAUAUGUGAAGAUUAUGACUGUAGCAUAUGAAUAAGGAUCGGCUAACUCCGUGCCAGCAGCCG
RNAcentral lists this ribosomal RNA (477 nucleotides) under uncultured bacterium. Its description in RNAcentral is "bacterial SSU rRNA". It matches the Rfam family "Bacterial small subunit ribosomal RNA", at positions 9 to 517 of the family's 1533-position model. The record is from RNAcentral.